CUGGCUCUCUGAAGAACAUUGUCCCUGGAGGAAGACGUCCUGAGGAACCUCGAAGUGGUUUUCUUCCUGUUAUUCCUGGAAAUCGGUCUUUAGUUGCUGCUCCAUCUUCUGCACAAGUUACCCAACGCACACGUCAUUGAAAGCAACAGACUGCGGGUGUCACAACCAUGAACAGGAACAGGAAAUAGAUCUGGAUGUGAGAAAGCCACCACCACCACACCUUCGAGAUGCAUAAAAUGGGCCAACAGUUCAAUGGAAUUAUACCAUCAAAUUCCAUCAUGGGGAAAUAUACCAUCAAAUGCCAUCAUGAAGAAAUAUACCAUCAAAUACCAUCAUGAUGAAGCAGACUGGGC
Long non-coding RNA from Spea bombifrons (plains spadefoot toad), 353 nucleotides. RefSeq lists it as uncharacterized. The transcript has 3 exons. The record is from RefSeq and is a predicted model, not a curated record. NCBI's taxonomy places the organism in Eukaryota, Metazoa, Chordata, Amphibia, Anura, Pelobatidae.